This is a non-coding RNA of Arachis ipaensis, 2078 nucleotides long. The record is from RefSeq and is a predicted model, not a curated record. Lineage: Eukaryota; Viridiplantae; Streptophyta; Magnoliopsida; Fabales; Fabaceae.
UUAUUUAUUUUUUUAAUUAGUUAACAUAAUGAGAAACCUUUUUAACUGAAAAUAAUUUCAAUUUAGUGACACCGAUAUCAAAAUAAAGUGGGUUCUCGAUCCGGUUUUAUGGUUUUCUAAAUUACUAAAUUACAUCUCAAAUUCAAAAAAAUUGCAACCUAAACCCGCCAAUUCCACCGUGGAUAGUAGUAGAUUGUCGUGAUUACCGAGACAAAACAGCUUUACUACGGCGGAGAGCUCAAAAUCCGCAACAGCAUAUCACCAUGGCGCCGUCAUGGCUGUUAUUUUAUAACAUACAUAAAUACCCCAAAGCGCGGCAGGUAUAUAGACACAAAAGGUUCGGCGACAGUUUCGGAAUUAAGAAAUUGGAUGAGUCCCCAAGUAUUGUUAACUUGGCAGACAUUGAGAAAAGGGAAAUGCCAUGCUAAGACGUGGGUGUGCGCAUGGCGCGUAUAAAGGGGAGGAAAGGAAAGGCUGAAUUUGGAAAUUGGCUUGGGGAGAGUGGGGUUGCUAUAGGGUCCUAUUUCCGUUGGCUUCUUGUUGAGAUACAGACUGAUCAGAGUGAAUAAUACUAUUAUACUACUCCGUCUAAUUUCUAUGUUUGGUUUCCUACAAUUUGGGGUGUGGUGGUGUUGAACAGAUCGUGGUGGUUCAUAGUGAUGGCACAGAUUGUGUACAUCCUAAGCGGCACAAAAGGGACGCGUGGAGUGGCAUCUCGACGAACGCCUUUGUGAAUCUCUGUGAUUCGUUCAUCUCUCCCUUACAUCUGGGGUUUUGCUCUGCCUUCUGAUUAUUAUUCCACCCACUAGUUACUGUGUCUGAGAAAAUAGGUAAGCUGAGGAUUCAUGCAGAACUUAAGCACGUCAAUCAUGACAUCAAAUACCUUCAGUAUGCAGGAAAAAUUGGAAGAGCUUGAGAAAGCAAAUGUGUCAGUCAUAUGCAUAGAGUAAGCAUUUUUUUUUUUUUGGGUAAAGAAGAAAUGAGAAAUUGCUGAUAUAUGAUACAAGAAGAAAGUUGAAAUUGAUUAUGAGAUCUACUAAUUAUUGUCUCAAUUAGAAGUUCAUGUUGUUCUUAUUCUUAUUAGUUAUUAUGAUAUUGAUAUGGCUUAAAUUUCAGUUUGCUGCAAAACGUGGAAAGUAGGCUUGAUCCACUUAUUCUUAUUAGUUAUUAUGAUAUUGGUAUGGGAUCGAUGGUUUGAAUGUCCUCAGGAUCCACACGAAUGUACAUGUUUGAUUCUAUGAAACAUGUACAAGGGUUUAAACAUGUUUGCGUUCCAAUCAAGUGUUACACUCUAAUUAGAGCUUAAUUGAGGAUAUGUACAAGUAUAAUUAUAAAGAGGGUCCAGUCUUCUCUAAAGAUUAUUGGUUUUUGAGGAAGUUGGCUAUACUUUUAAGUUGCCAAGUCGAAUAGAGAUAGAUCCAACCAGUAUGCUGCCAACCAUAACGAUGAUUUCAUUGAAUCAAAAUCUGACAGACAGAUGCUGCUUCUUAUGAAGGAAGCAGGAUGAGGAGUUGGAUGAGCUUAGUUUAAGUGUAUUUGUGAGGGCUUUUUCUUCUCUGAUUCAAUACUAGGAGCCUAAGUGGCAAGUCCAGGAAAAGAUUAUAGAUGAACUGGGUAAUUAGAUGGACAGUACAUCCAAUCAUUUAGAUUUUGUACAAAAAAAAGAAGGCUAGUGCAAAGGGUCAAAUCAUGAACUGUUUAUUUUCCUCUUCAUCUUGGUGUUCUAAUUAAAUUACACUGUUAUGUAUAGCAAUUAAAUUCAUUUGAGAUUGGCCCUUGUUUUUUACAUGAAGAGAGAGAUAUCUCAGUUUUUGCGAGAAGAUACAAGAUUGUUGGGACAUGCUUUAGUGUCUAUUAAUCAAAUGGAAGCCAUUUUGGUAUUUCAAGGCAUUAGAAUUUUAUGAUUGUGAUGAUAAAGAGACAAUGUAAGGAUUUAGAUUCUCUGAACAUUUGGAUUACAAAUAUGAUUGGAUUUAGGGUUAUUCGGAUUAAAAUUGUUCUCUUAGAUGUAAUGUAAUGUGAUGUCAACUUAUUUUUAACAUCCUUUUAGAAUAUGAUAGCAUGGAGUUUUAAACCUA